RNAcentral lists this ribosomal RNA (405 nucleotides) under uncultured bacterium. RNAcentral's name for it is "partial 16S ribosomal RNA". It matches the Rfam family "Bacterial small subunit ribosomal RNA", at positions 29 to 526 of the family's 1533-position model. The record is from RNAcentral.
AUUGAACGCUGGCGGCAGGCUUAACACAUGCAAGUCGAACGAGUGGCGGACGGGCGAGUAAUGCUUGGGAAUCUGGCUUAUGGAGGGGGAUAACGACGGGAAACUGUCGCUAAUACCGCGUCCCAUACGAUGAGCCCAAGGGGGAUUAGGUAGUUGGUGGGGUAAUGGUCUACAAAGCCGACGGUCGCUAGCUGGUCUGAGAGGAUGACCAGCCACACCGGGACUGAGACACGGCCCGGACUCCUACGGGAGGCAGCAGUGGGGAAUAUUGCGCAAUGGGGGCAACCUGACGCAGCCAUGCCGCGUGAAUGAAGAAGGCCUGCGGGUUGUAAAGUGCUUUCGGUGACGAGGCGUUAAUCACAGAAGAAGCACCGGCUAACUCCGUGCCAGCAGCCGCGGUAAUAC